GCUAAUUAGGGUCGGUACCUAGAGACAGCAUAACCAUUCUUCGUUUUUCUGUAGGUUCGCUAACAGGUUGAAGAAUGGUUUCCCAAUAACCCAAUUAUAUUACAUGGGUUUUCUUCGUCAUUUGGGUUCCCAAAAACCUGGAAAUGGCAGAUGCUGUGCUCUGUCGGGUCCGGCUUUCUUUUU
This 183-nucleotide non-coding RNA is filed under the name Anastatus disparis. The record is from RNAcentral. Lineage: Eukaryota; Metazoa; Arthropoda; Insecta; Hymenoptera; Eupelmidae.